CCUACGGGAGGCAGCAGUGAGGAAUAUUGGUCAAUGGACGAGAGUCUGAACCAGCCAAGUAGCGUGAAGGAUGACUGCCCUAUGGGUUGUAAACUUCUUUUAUAUGGGAAUAAAACGUUCCACGUGUGGGAUUUUGUCUGUACCAUAUGAAUAAGGAUCGGCUAACUCCGUGCCAGCAGCCGCGGUAAUACGGAGGAUCCGAGCGUUUUCCGGAUUUAUUGGGUUUAAAGGGAGCGUAGGUGGAUUGUUAAUGCAGUUGUGAAAGUUUGCGGCUCAACCGUAAAAGUGCAGUUGAAACUGGCAGUCUUGAGUACAGGAGAGGUGGGCGGAAUUCGUGGUGUAGCGGUGAAAUGCUUAGAUAUCACGAAGAACUCCGAUUGCGAAGGCAGUUCACUGGACUGCAACUGACACUGAGGCUCGAAAGUGUGGGUAUCAAACAGGAUUAGAUACCCCUGUAGUC
This 460-nucleotide ribosomal RNA is filed under the name uncultured bacterium. RNAcentral describes it as "partial 16S ribosomal RNA". It matches the Rfam family "Bacterial small subunit ribosomal RNA", at positions 338 to 795 of the family's 1533-position model. The record is from RNAcentral.